This 428-nucleotide long non-coding RNA is filed under the name Neogobius melanostomus (round goby). RNAcentral describes it as "lncRNA (ENSNMLG00000006881.1)". Lineage: Eukaryota; Metazoa; Chordata; Actinopteri; Gobiiformes; Gobiidae. The record is from RNAcentral.
ACGGUUUAAUUUUAUGUUCUAACUACAAAAUGAUGAAUGUCGCCUAGGACUCUGGACAAACAAUGGAAGAAACAGAGCUCAGAGAGGAAAAGGCCCAGAGAUCUGCUCCUGGGAACGGCCCGGUGUCAGUGAGAAGUGAUCACUCCAAUGAUCGAUUCAUUGAUUUUAAAGAAAAAAAUGGUUCACAGAUCCUCCAGAAACAUCCUCCGUCUGAACCUGGUCCCAGCUGUGAGUCCCUCAGUGACCGGUCUAUGGACAAACCAAUGGACUUCAGGACAGAACAACCCAGUGUUGACGUCAGACCAGACGGUUCUGAACCAGGCCCCGACUGUGAGUCCCUCAGGAGCGACCGGUCCAAGAUGGAACCACUGACCUUUUCCUCAGAUCUGUAAGAUUCAGUUUGUUUAAACACAAGGACAGACAGUGGU